This 75-nucleotide transfer RNA is filed under the name Rhamnusium bicolor. RNAcentral describes it as "tRNA-OTHER". Lineage: Eukaryota; Metazoa; Arthropoda; Insecta; Coleoptera; Cerambycidae. The record is from RNAcentral.
GGUUUCGUGGUUGAGAGGUAAGGACACUUGUCUCUCACCCAGGAGUCCCGGGUUUGAUUCCCGGUCGAGGGACUA